Molecule: long non-coding RNA, 2084 nt
Organism: Acanthaster planci (crown-of-thorns starfish)
Lineage: Eukaryota; Metazoa; Echinodermata; Asteroidea; Valvatida; Acanthasteridae
Source: RefSeq, a predicted model, not a curated record
AGUUUUUUAUCGUGGGCUUCGUGGUACUGGAUCAUUUUAGUGGUUUCCUUUUCUUACUUCACAUGCACGGCUUUGUUACCGCCGUCAGAAAAUCCCAAACGAAGUGAACAUUCUCCAUAGAAUCUUUCCUUUGUGUUGCGGCGAAAUUAAGUUUGACAUCAUGAAGGCUGUGACUCUCAGCUGUUUUUUCAUCGUCAUUUUGAUUGUGGGAACUGUGAUGAGUUCUGAAGUACCAAGUGGACAUGACGAGAAAGGUAUUAAAAGGGUGAACGAAGCAGCUGGCAACGCCGAUUCAGACUGGUUUGUUUGGAAAGACCGGGUUGCACGCAAUGCGCAAAGAUGCUGUAUUAAUUGUCGUCCGAGUUGCUACUGUUGCUAUGCUUAAAAUAGCAGGAAAUGUUUUGUCACGCGACCGAGAAAUUCGCUCGUUACUGCUGGCUUUGGACGGACUGUGUUCACUUGUUGAUGGGAAGCCGAGUUUAAAGGUUUCCAGUUUCUUAUUAGGUUAUGAAAUUAACGCAAUUAUAGCACCCUGCAUGCUCUCAAGUUCAUUGGGGUUGAUUUUUAUUUCAAAAACUGUUUAAAAAAGCACAUAAAAGUAUAAAUCAGAGUGGGAAAUAGUUAAGUGUGUAUUUUUGUGUUAGAAUUUUUUCAUUUCCUGAUUUGUCACUUAAACUUUAUCUGAAUACCAUCAUUGACGGUUCAAGCUUUACAACGUGUCAGUCACACGGUCAUUUGCUGUUUGAUCUGAGAGUGUAAUAUGGAGGAUCACAUCUACAGAUUUGUACACAUUGUGUAAGGCAUCCUGUUUGUUCUUCCCAUAAUGAAAAAAAAACAAACUAAACUUGAACAGUUUUCGUCUGAAACAAGUACCCUGCUCUCUCUGAAUUGCUGGGUAGUAAAAAGUACACGUACUAGUCUCAACUUGCAGCAUAAUAGAUCGAAAUGCACCGGUAAAAAAUUUGCAAGGAUUUAGAGAUAUCUGGUCCAAAAUAUUUCGGAAAUUGCUGCUGUUCAUUGUACGUCUCUAUUGCUGAAGGUAACUAAGUAGUUCAACAUAUUCAACAUAUUAGUUCAACAUUUUGCCAUGUGUGGUCUCUCGGAAAUGGUCCUUAAUUGGGUUGCUUCUAAGGUGCUGAAAAACCAGUGAACAACUAUAAGCUUAUCAAUUUAGCUCGUAGAUUCUUAAGGGUAUAUAAUUGACGGCACUAGAGCUCCUGCGAAAUAUUCUUUUUGACGUGCUCUCAUUAGGCCCCCCAAAAUAAUCAGUCUCUAGUCAGACCAAAGUUCCAGAAUUGAUGAGGUGAUGCUUUUUUUUAGGGGGGGUGGUUUUUUAGGACUGUGUGGCAUAUUUAAUCAAAUAGCAAAGGCUAGUAUUAGCACGUCGCACGUCAUGCCGCCAUUGUUGUUGAUCAGCUGGCUACAACUUUGUAACCUACCUGUGGUCUACUCUUUGUGUUCUACAUUAACAUCAUCGGGUACGAGCUACCCACAAAUUAGUCUGGUUCCUUGAACAAAUUGCCCUUCUGACUUGUGGACUUGUGGCUGAGAAUCAGUCUACUCGCGAACAUUCCGGCAGUGCAGAAAUAGAGGGGGCUAUUUUGAAAAUUUUGAGGAAAAAAUGGAAAACAAAUUGACGCGCACGUUUAAAAUCGACGCGCGUACUUACCAAAGACCGACUUUUGGGGGGACCUCGGUAGGAAAACCUUAAUUGUAUCUGGAAAACGGUUCAUGAUAAUUUAGGUAAAAUAUAGCACUUUAUGCACACGUUAGAGGCUUGUUUUACACUUUGACUCCUUUAUAAACCGUAGGUGCAUUGUUUUGCUGAAUAUCGCUAACAAUUUUUCUUCAGUGUUGAAACAGUUCUGUAACCGGGAAAUAUUUCUUUUCAAACGAUUUUUGUGCUAGAAUUGGAGAAAUGUUAGCUUUCAUUCUUUGUAGCCUUUGAGACGUCUUGUUGUACACAGUCUAAUUUUUCUUCCAUGUGUUUGCUAUUAGUUGUUGAUAUUACGCGUUGCUAAACCUUUGCAGUUCUUAGUUUAGUCAUUGGUUCAUUCAUUGAAAGCCAAAGUUUGCAGAGAAAA